Molecule: ribosomal RNA, 409 nt
Filed under: uncultured bacterium
Lineage: Bacteria
Description: bacterial SSU rRNA
Rfam family: Bacterial small subunit ribosomal RNA
Source: RNAcentral
AGCAGUGGGGAAUAUUGGACAAUGGGCGAAAGCCUGAUCCAGCCAUGCCGCGUGUGUGAAGAAGGUCUUCGGAUUGUAAAGCACUUUAAGUUGGGAGGAAGGGCAGUAAAUUAAUACUUUGCUGUUUUGACGUUACCGACAGAAUAAGCACCGGCUAACUCUGUGCCAGCAGCCGCGGUAAUACAGAGGGUACAAGCGUUAAUCGGAAUUACUGGGCGUAAAGCGCGCGUAGGUGGUUCGUUAAGUUGGAUGUGAAAUCCCCGGGCUCAACCUGGGAACUGCAUUCAAAACUGACGAGCUAGAGUAUGGUAGAGGGUGGUGGAAUUUCCUGUGUAGCGGUGAAAUGCGUAGAUAUAGGAAGGAACACCAGUGGCGAAGGCGACCACCUGGUCUGAUACUGACACUGAGG